RNAcentral lists this ribosomal RNA (253 nucleotides) under uncultured bacterium. RNAcentral describes it as "partial 16S ribosomal RNA". It matches the Rfam family "Bacterial small subunit ribosomal RNA", at positions 524 to 776 of the family's 1533-position model. The record is from RNAcentral.
UACGUAGGCAGCGAGCGUUGUUCGGAGUUACUGGGCGUAAAGGGUGUGUAGGCGGUUUUCUAAGUUUGGUGUGAAAUCUCCCGGCUCAACCGGGAGGGUGCGCCGAAAACUGGGAGACUAGAGUGCGGGAUGGGAGAGUAGAAUUCCUGGUGUAGCGGUGAAAUGCGUAGAUAUCCGGAAGAACACCGGUGGCGAAGGCGGUUAGCUGGGGUCGGACUGACGCUGAGGCGCGACAGCGUGGGGAGCAAACAGG